RNAcentral lists this ribosomal RNA (558 nucleotides) under bacterium fme09x51p316. RNAcentral's name for it is "bacterial SSU rRNA". It matches the Rfam family "Bacterial small subunit ribosomal RNA", at positions 48 to 618 of the family's 1533-position model. The record is from RNAcentral.
GCUACACAUGCAGUCGAACGAUGAAGCCGGAGCUUGCUCUGGUGGAUUAGUGGCGAACGGGUGAGUAACACGUGAGUAACCUGCCCUUGACUCUGGAAUAAGCGUUGGAAACGACGUCUAAUACCGGAUACGAGCUUCCGCCGCAUGGUGAGGAGCUGGAAAGAAUUUCGGUCAAGGAUGGACUCGCGGCCUAUCAGGUAGUUGGUGAGGUAAUGGCUCACCAAGCCUACGACGGGUAGCCGGCCUGAGAGGGUGACCGGCCACACUGGAACUGAGACACGGUCCAGACUCCUACGGGAGGCAGCAGUGGGGAAUAUUGCACAAUGGGCGCAAGCCUGAUGCAGCAACGCCGCGUGAGGGACGACGGCCUUCGGGUUGUAAACCUCUUUUAGUAGGGAAGAAGCGAAAGUGACGGUACCUGCAGAAAAAGCACCGGCUAACUACGUGCCAGCAGCCGCGGUAAUACGUAGGGUGCAAGCGUUAUCCGGAAUUAUUGGGCGUAAAGAGCUCGUAGGCGGUUUGUCGCGUCUGCUGUGAAAACUGGGGGCUCAACCCCCA